This 826-nucleotide ribosomal RNA is filed under the name Melanopsamma pomiformis. RNAcentral's name for it is "eukaryotic LSU rRNA". It matches the Rfam family "Eukaryotic large subunit ribosomal RNA", at positions 74 to 935 of the family's 3401-position model. Lineage: Eukaryota; Fungi; Ascomycota; Sordariomycetes; Hypocreales; Stachybotryaceae. The record is from RNAcentral. RNAcentral also lists the same sequence under 1 other name.
AUUGCCUCAGUAACGGCGAGUGAAGCGGCAACAGCUCAAAUUUGAAAUCUGGCCCUAGGCCCGAGUUGUAAUUUGCAGAGGAUGCUUUUGGCGAGGUGCCUUCCGAGUUCCCUGGAACGGGACGCCAUAGAGGGUGAGAGCCCCGUCUGGUCGGACACCAAGCCUCUGUAAAGCUCCUUCGACGAGUCGAGUAGUUUGGGAAUGCUGCUCUAAAUGGGAGGUAUAUGUCUUCUAAAGCUAAAUACCGGCCAGAGACCGAUAGCGCACAAGUAGAGUGAUCGAAAGAUGAAAAGCACUUUGGAAAGAGAGUUAAACAGCACGUGAAAUUGUUGAAAGGGAAGCGUUCACGACCAGACUUGGGCCGGUUGAUCAUCCAGCGUUCUCGCUGGUGCACUCUGCCGGCCCAGGCCAGCAUCAGUUCGCCCCGGGGGACAAAGACGGCGGGAAUGUGGCUCCUCCGGGAGUGUUAUAGCCCAUCGUGCAAUACCCUGUGGUGGACUGAGGUUCGCGCUCUGCAAGGAUGCUGGCGUAAUGGUCGUCAACGACCCGUCUUGAAACACGGACCAAGGAGUCGUCUUCGUAUGCGAGUGUUCGGGUGUCAAACCCCUACGCGUAAUGAAAGUGAACGCAGGUGAGAGCUUCGGCGCAUCAUCGACCGAUCCUGAUGUUCUCGGAUGGAUUUGAGUAAGAGCAUACGGGGCCGGACCCGAAAGAAGGUGAACUAUGCCUGUAUAGGGUGAAGCCAGAGGAAACUCUGGUGGAGGCUCGCAGCGGUUCUGACGUGCAAAUCGAUCGUCAAAUAUGGGCAUGGGGGCGAAAGACUAAU